CUUACCUCUGCUAAGCAUCAUCAAGAUUUACUACUCUGACAACAGACCAGGAAUGUUAUUUCAGAAUAAGGGUGGAUAAGAGAGAUGCAAACGCACGCACACACACACGUAUGUGCAUGAUUACAAUCUGAGGGCAGCAUUAGGGCUGCAUUCACCAAGGAAAAGGUGGACAGACACCCCAGCCACCAUGAGGACAGCAGGCGUGGUGGUGCUGCUGGCUCUCGCCCUUUGCUGCUGCCCAGAUACCGUUGCACUGAAGGGCUACUGCAGUAACUACGUCGUACCCCGCAAUUUCUGCACGCUGGAGUACAUCCCACACUGCGGGUCUGAUGGUGUAACAUAUGCCAACAAAUGUUUAUUCUGCAAUGCAUUUCUGAGAAGCCGUCGGACUCUCAGGUUGCUGUACCUUCGAGAGUGCUAACACCUCAACUGUCUCCAGCUCAGACAGGAGACUCCUCCCUGGCAAUAUUCCCUAUGGCAGAGGCUGCCCUAAAACCUCAUCCUGAACUUUGAGAGCUCCUGAUAAAGCCUGAAAUGAAACUCUGCCCAAUAAAACAAAUAAACAAACAACAACAACCCUUCAGCAUGUACGUCUUGUUUUAAUAAUAUGUCUCACGAUGUUUUGUUUUUUUUCUUAAGGUGUUUUGUGAUUAUUUCACUGCAACACUCCUGGGGUGUGGGUAUUAAUGGGUAAAUUACAGGGAGAGAGAAUGCAUUGUCUGAUCUACAAAGAAAUCAGCUCCAUCUCCGAAGGCAAUGAGUUUCUCUGAGGGCCUUCACCCAGAUUUCCUAAAGACAACCAGAGCUGGGGAUGCAACCUGGUGCAAUGCUCCAGUGGAUUUAUCCUGCUAAGGGCAUCCCAAACAGACGCUCACUGCCUCCCUAGCAGGUGAGGAGAGAGGUGGCAAAGAAGGGCACUUCCCAGCUGCAUCUCCCCCCAUGGAAGUGGGGUAGCAAACACACCCGCAGGUGGGUGAAGUCUUUUAGCAGUCACUUUCUGUGCCUCCCCAAGCAGCAGGACAGGAUGUUUCCCCAGGCAGGGGGCACCUGCCUGCCUGCAUUUAUGCUCGUGACACUCAUCGGGGUGCGGGUGAUGUUCAGAGGACUGUGAGCAGGAGCUUCCGCAGCCCGUUUCGGCACCUCACCCACCACUUAGCUGCUGCUUGUAGGUAAUUGCGUCAGCUGCCACUUGUAGAGGAUCCUUUGAGAUUCUUGGGCCUCUGGAAAUCUUGGCUGAUGAAAGGAAGGGCUCAGAGUCAUAGCAUUAAUUUAUUAUUCAUUACCAGCAAAGUGCCGGCAGUGCAGCGGGCUGUACGGGCAGCCGUCUCACAGCCAAAUAGUUAAUGAUCUUAAGUGACAACGUGCCGCUUUCCAGAGACCAGAGAGAGCGGCUCUCUGGAGGGAGACUAUUUAUUUCCAGAAGAUGUGUGUGUGUGCAACCACUCAGCACCAAGCCCCUUCCUGGGGCUGGGAUGUCCCUCCUGGGGGUGGGAUGUCUGGGUGUGGGGAGGCAUUUCGGGACCAAGGGCAAUGCU
This 1535-nucleotide long non-coding RNA is filed under the name Cairina moschata (Muscovy duck). RNAcentral's name for it is "domestica (muscovy Duck (domestic type)) lncRNA (ENSCMMG00000015642.1)". Lineage: Eukaryota; Metazoa; Chordata; Aves; Anseriformes; Anatidae. The record is from RNAcentral.